AUGACGUCAAGUCAGCAUGGCCCUUACGUCCGGGGCUACACACGUGCUACAAUGGCCGGUACAAAGGGUUGCGAAGCCGUGAGGUGGAGCGAAUCUCAAAAAGCCGGCCUCAGUUCGGAUUGGAGGCUGCAACUCGCCUCCAUGAAGUCGGAAUCGCUAGUAACCGCAGAUCAGCUACGUUGCGGUGAAUACGUUCCCGGGCCUU
RNAcentral lists this ribosomal RNA (205 nucleotides) under uncultured Candidatus Sumerlaeota bacterium. RNAcentral's name for it is "partial 16S ribosomal RNA". It matches the Rfam family "Bacterial small subunit ribosomal RNA", at positions 1179 to 1382 of the family's 1533-position model. Lineage: Bacteria; Candidatus Sumerlaeota. The record is from RNAcentral.